Arachis ipaensis is the source of this 325-nucleotide non-coding RNA. The record is from RefSeq and is a predicted model, not a curated record. NCBI's taxonomy places the organism in Eukaryota, Viridiplantae, Streptophyta, Magnoliopsida, Fabales, Fabaceae.
UAGAUAUAUUAUCUUUUGGGCCUUAGAUACUAUUUUAUUUGGGCUUAAGGGUUUAAUGGGUGCCAUGCUCAAAUAUAAAUAGACCUUCAGGGUUUCGAUCCCCAAUAUACCAAAGUCGCAUUUGUUGUUCUUUCCCCAUCAAAAGAGUUGCAAUUCAGCCACCUAGAAAUACAGAAGGCUUCAGUUGAGGAAGAUCGAAAGAACCACAAGAUCCAAACUCUUCCGAUCGUAUGAUUCAUGUUUAUAAAUUCAGGUACGCUUCCGCAUUAUGAUAUGAUAUAUUUUUGAUGAUUCAAUAUGAAUGAUCUGGAAAGGGUUGCCUGUG